AACCUAUACCUGCCUAUAAUGUGAAGUUAUUUUAAUAAACCGUCCUACACAUAUAAUAUUGAUGUAUUGUUUUUAUAAAGAAGGUAAAAUAGCGCUAGAUAUGACCCUCGAGAAUUAACUUAUGUUUCUGUGGGCCCACUGGCAGUCAGACCCCUGCUAUGCCUUUUAUGGAGUGGAUGGCACCACCUGCCCCAUAUUACCUCAGCCAGAUAGAAGACUUGUCCCCAUCCUCUUUGAAGGAGCCACCCUGCACCGCCAUGGCACCAGAACAGUCUGAUACAGAGAAGGCUGAGAUAUGUACAGCUCUGAGCCCACUGUAUGAGGUCAUCAGCAACAACAGCAGUCCUGCCAUAAGAUUCAUAACCAGCAGAUGCUGCUUUAUCCCGGUGCCCUGACUGGGAGUGCUGGCCAGUGUUUUGAAGCCAUGGUAGAGAGAGGGGGUCCUCUAGGGGAGCUGGUCCAGCGGACUGACCUCAGUCCACAUAGGGUGUUGUGUGUGGCCUCUUUGUCAAGGAGUUAGCUGUGGCCAUUUGGGGACAUCUACCCUGAAAACACGGAGGUCAACCACCAAGGGGGAGCAAAACACCCCUUGACACUAACAGAAUGGAAGUCACUGAGAGUGGCAGAAUGUUUAUGCAGAACAAGGGGCCAAGGAUGGAGCCUUGGGGAACACCACAAGUAAGAGAGGCUACAGAAGAAGAGUAGGGAGAUGACAAGAAAUGAGGGGACAGAUGGGGGAAUGACAUGCAACAAAGAUCCCUGGCCAGAUGUGAACUGGGGUUGUUGCGGUUCUUGGUCGGCACCUGAACCCUCAAGCCAGUGGUUCCCAACCUGUGGGUCAGGACUCCCACAAAGGGUCUGAAGUGGGGCUGCAACUUAGAUUAUUUUCAUUAUUGACAAAUCUACUGAAUAUUUUCCAGAUUAAACAAUUAUUUGUGUGGUUUGUAAAAUGCUCAUGUCCCAGAGCUCAUGGUUACUUUCCAAAACCUCUUUGUACGACCAGCGAUCCAAAACGCAAAGACAAUCGAUUUAUUAUCACAGAGGAGUAUGAAAACCAGAAAAUAUUUAUAUUUGGGAAGCUGGAAUUUUUGCUUAAAAAAUGACUGACACAAUUAUUUGAUUAUAAAAAAUGUUGCAAUAGUUAACUUUCUGAUGGUCGACUAAUGGAUUAAUUGACUAAUCAUUGUAGCUCUAGUCUGAUGUUAAACCUCAGGGGAGUUGCAAGAAGAUUAACAGGAUAGAAAAUCAGGAAAAUAUGUUUCUGCUACCUUAAAUUAUGUUCUGACAUUCCCCUUGUUCCUAUUCAACAAAUGAGUGAUACUGGGAUAUAUCAAUAAAAAUGGACCUGACCUGACUCUUUGCUUUUUUCUUGUGAAUUACACAAUUAGUUUAGGUGUUUCAGAGUUUUUAAAAAAUAUCAAAUUAAAUGAUAAAAAUCACUCUUUGGUUAAACUUGUCAUAACUGACAGAAAUACAACUGUAGACAUUGUUUUGUUUUAAGGGGUCACAAGCCAAAAAAGUUUGGAAACCACUACCCUAUGGCCACCAGGGCGCCCCAGUUCCUUGCCUUAGGUGAAAGUAUUUGGA
Molecule: long non-coding RNA, 1587 nt
Organism: Thunnus maccoyii (southern bluefin tuna)
Lineage: Eukaryota; Metazoa; Chordata; Actinopteri; Scombriformes; Scombridae
Exons: 7
Source: RefSeq, a predicted model, not a curated record